GGUUCUUUGAUGUAGCGGUCAGCACUCUGGACUUCGAAUCCAGCGAUCCAAGUUCAAAUCUCGGUAGAACCU
This 72-nucleotide transfer RNA is filed under the name Ornithorhynchus anatinus (platypus). It matches the Rfam family "tRNA". From Rfam's summary of the family: Transfer RNA (tRNA) molecules are approximately 80 nucleotides in length. Their secondary structure includes four short double-helical elements and three loops (D, anti-codon, and T loops). Lineage: Eukaryota; Metazoa; Chordata; Mammalia; Monotremata; Ornithorhynchidae. The record is from Rfam by way of RNAcentral.